GUGGGCAACCUGCCCUAAAGUGAGGAAUACCGGCGAGAAAUCGCCGACAAUACCGCAUACGCUCUGCAAAGAGCAAAGCUCGCAAGGGCGCUUUAGGAUGGGCCUGCGUCUGAUUAGCUAGUUGGUGAGGUCAUAGCUUACCAAGGCGACGAUCAGUAGCUGGUCUGAGAGGACGAUCAGCCACACUGGGAUUGAGAACGGCCCAG
This 206-nucleotide ribosomal RNA is filed under the name uncultured bacterium. RNAcentral's name for it is "partial 16S ribosomal RNA". It matches the Rfam family "Bacterial small subunit ribosomal RNA", at positions 117 to 334 of the family's 1533-position model. The record is from RNAcentral.